AUAAGAAUAUAAGUAUCUUCGAAUAAAGAUGUGACUUUUACAUUCACUACUUAUAUUUAGUUAGUUCUAGAAAUGAGACUUUGUGUCCUACAAACCAGCCCUGAUGCACAGCUAUGUGUUGACAGAGUAGGGAACUUCUAAUUGGCUUUUCAAAAUAAAUUACAUUGUCAGAGAAAACAAUUGUCUCAGAUAAAUAUCAUUUAAGGCUUAGAAAAAGGGGAUUGCCCUUCCCCACAUUCACAUACACUCUCGCCUGCCUACCAAGGCCAGCCCCCUCUGCUGGGUGGGAUGUCAGUAGUGACAUAGAGAUGAGGAAUAGGAAACCUUCAGAAAACCUUCUCAGACUGAGGGAGGAGCAUGAUCUGGAAUAGUGAUAUCAAGACAGGAACUUUUCUCACUGAAGACUCCUGAGGAGAGAAAUGGCCUCUUUUAGACUUGACCCGAUGAUGCAUUCCAAGUUUUUCUUCUAUAUCAUCAUUUAUCUCUUAAUAGCAGGUGGUCAGCCAGAUGUGAGAGUCACUCAAUAUCCAAGUUACCUGGUCUCAAGAACAGGACAGUCAGUGAUCCUUGAAUGUGACCCUGCUUCAGGACACCUUACAGCACUGUGGUACCAGCAGUUAAAGGGUCAAGGGCCUGAGAUGCUUUUUUACUUCUAUAAUAAGGAAUUAAAUGAUAAAAGGACAAACACUAAUCGAUUCACAGCUAAGCAGGAUAAAAACUUCCAGCUCAACAUCAGUUCCUUGCAGCAGGAGGAUUCUGCCCUCUAUCUCUGUGCCAGCAGCAAAGACACAGUGCCACAGGGGCAGCUCUCAUGUGUUCAUAAACUUGUUGGACCCAAGCCCAGGGAGCAAAGAUAG
Molecule: non-coding RNA, 857 nt
Organism: Sarcophilus harrisii (Tasmanian devil)
Lineage: Eukaryota; Metazoa; Chordata; Mammalia; Dasyuromorphia; Dasyuridae
Source: the annotation of a RefSeq genome assembly